AAGACACCACCGAAUCACCAAGAAUCACCGAGACAUCAGAAAAUCAGCAACACACCACCACAUCGAGCACCGAAGAAAGCAAGAUCACCGAAGACCUCCACCCACACUCCACUCAUACUCCAUGAAGACAUCCACCACCUCGGAAGCUCUCUGAGGAAAAAGAUUUAGCCACCAUAUUUAGAAUCACCCACUACCGCUGUAUUACUCCAC
This 210-nucleotide long non-coding RNA is filed under the name Setaria italica (foxtail millet). RNAcentral's name for it is "long non-coding RNA (SITA_LNC003237)". Lineage: Eukaryota; Viridiplantae; Streptophyta; Magnoliopsida; Poales; Poaceae. The record is from RNAcentral.